RNAcentral lists this ribosomal RNA (16 nucleotides) under Psilotum nudum. RNAcentral's name for it is "partial 28S ribosomal RNA". Lineage: Eukaryota; Viridiplantae; Streptophyta; Polypodiopsida; Psilotales; Psilotaceae. The record is from RNAcentral.
ACGAGACCUCAGGUGA